This 521-nucleotide ribosomal RNA is filed under the name uncultured bacterium. RNAcentral's name for it is "bacterial SSU rRNA". It matches the Rfam family "Bacterial small subunit ribosomal RNA", at positions 988 to 1509 of the family's 1533-position model. The record is from RNAcentral.
CCAGCGAACUUGGCAGAGAUGCCUUGGUGCCUUCGGGAACGCUGAGACAGGUGCUGCAUGGCUGUCGUCAGCUCGUGUUGUGAAAUGUUGGGUUAAGUCCCGCAACGAGCGCAACCCUUAUCCUUUGUUGCCAGCGAUUCGGUCGGGAACUCAAAGGAGACUGCCGGUGAUAAACCGGAGGAAGGUGGGGAUGACGUCAAGUCAUCAUGGCCCUUACGAGUAGGGCUACACACGUGCUACAAUGGCGCAUACAAAGAGAAGCGACCUCGCGAGAGCAAGCGGACCUCAUAAAGUGCGUCGUAGUCCGGAUCGGAGUCUGCAACUCGACUCCGUGAAGUCGGAAUCGCUAGUAAUCGUGGAUCAGAAUGCCACGGUGAAUACGUUCCCGGGCCUUGUACACACCGCCCGUCACACCAUGGGAGUGGGUUGCAAAAGAAGUAGGUAGCUUAACCUUCGGGAGGGCGCUUACCACUUUGUGAUUCAUGACUGGAGUGAAGUCGUAACAAGGUAGGCGUAGCGAG